CCUCCGGCCGGACGAGCCACGAUUGGGUGGCGUGUAUGUCAAUCCAGCGGAGGGCGGCUGCGGCAGUUGAUUCAGCUGAGUGGGUUCGGCUCCGGCAGUUGAUUCAGCUGAGUGGGUUCGGCUCCGGCAGUUGAUUCAGCUGAGUGGGUUCGGCUCCGGCAGUUGAUUCAGCUGAGUGGGUUCGGCUCCGGCAGUUGAUUCAGCUGAGUGGGUUCGGCUCCGGCAGUUGAUUCAGCUGAGUGGGUUCGGCUCCGGCAGUUGAUUCAGCUGAGUGGGUUCGGCUCCGGCAGUUGAUUCAGCUGAGUGGGUUCGGCUCCGGCAGUUGAUUCAGCUGAGUGGGUUCGGCUCCAAAGAGGCGCCACAGCAGGGAGUUAACGCGUUUCAGUCCAACUGCCCGGUUUAAACUUGCGGCGAGUGGUACACGGAACUGUGGGGGCGGUCUCAACAGAAGACGGAAAUUGACCGUGAUCAAGGCUUUUGCUAGCCUCUUGCAAGUUGUCUCCAAGCUUUACCCACUGUUCAUGAUGCGGUAGUCAUACUCUAUUUUUUUAACAGGAGUAUAACACUGUUUUCCGAUCUCGAGAGCAUCCUUCACCAAUUAAACAUCCUUCUUACAAUUCGUGGUUCAACUGAGAAUUGCAUCAAAAAUUAAAAAGAAAGAAAGAAAAAUAAAGAAGCUAAUCUGUUCAUUUCAAGAGUGCUAACAUUAAUAGAUUAAUAUGAAAAAGGAAUAAUACAUGAAUGAAGAAUACCGGAAUGAGAAGAAGUCAAAAGUGCUCAUGAUCCUCCAAAUUGGCUGAGGAAAGAACAAUUAUCAAUAUGUUCUGUUUCAUGAGAUCUUUUACUAACAAGUUAUCAAAGAAAUGAAUACGACAUCGUUGUGAUGUUCUUAUCUUCCUUUCUGUUCUAAGAUACAAAAACAUAUUUGCCAUUUAUCAUUGAUAAUUUAUUAAAUGGCCUAUUAUUAAAAUUAAAGUGACAAAGAAAGACAGAAAAUGACUUCUUCAGUUAUUGACAGCACAUUCUGCACUGACAAAGAGGGCAAUAAACAGGAAAGAAAAAAUAACAAUGAGCAGCCAAUCAGUACAGAUGGUGAUACCAAUGCAAAUGAGAUAGUAUCCCAGAUUCCUUUAACAGAAGAGAGGCAUAAAAGAGCUGACAAUGUGAAGGAGCUAUGCCAGAUGCAACAGAAUAUAAUGCUGGAAGGUGAACUUCUGGAUGUUCCUUUGAGUCAAGACGGGGCUUCUCAGCCAACAGAUACAAGAGUUAAUUUCUGCAAAAGUGCCAGUUUGGAAUUUUCAGAUGAUCAUCUCCCUAAUAUAAUUGAAAGUACAGAACUCAAACACACGGUUCACCAUGAGGAAGUUUGUAGUUCACAGUAUCUUAACAAGGAAAAUCAGAAUUGUGUUACAGGUGAAUCUAGCAGAGUUCCUCAAAUUCAACAGGAAUGUUACUCUAGAGGAGACAGUAGUUAUGCUACUGAAGCUGCCAAGGAACUACAGUGUUUGAAAACAGAGGCUACAGAUGAAAAUAAGAAAAUACAUUUCAA
Long non-coding RNA from Hypanus sabinus (Atlantic stingray), 1549 nucleotides. RefSeq lists it as uncharacterized. NCBI's taxonomy places the organism in Eukaryota, Metazoa, Chordata, Chondrichthyes, Myliobatiformes, Dasyatidae. The transcript is spliced from 4 exons. The record is from RefSeq and is a predicted model, not a curated record.